GGAGGUUAGUGCAAUGGCAUAAGCUAGCUUGACUGCGAGCGUGACGGCGCGAGCAGGUGCGAAAGCAGGUCAUAGUGAUCCGGUGGUUCUGAAUGGAAGGGCCAUCGCUCAACGGAUAAAAGGUACUCCGGGGAUAACAGGCUGAUACCGCCCAAGAGUUCAUAUCGACGGCGGUGUUUGGCACCUCGAUGUCGGCUCAUCACAUCCUGGGGCUGAAGUAGGUCCCAAGGGUAUGGCUGUUCGCCAUUUAAAGUGGUACGCGAGCUGGGUUUAGAACGUCGUGAGACAGUUCGGUCCCUAUCUGCCGUGGGCGCUGGAGAAUUGAGGGGGGCUGCUCCUAGUACGAGAGGACCGGAGUGGACGCAUCACUGGUGUUCGGGUUGUCAUGCCAAUGGCACUGCCCGGUAGCUAAAUGCGGAAGAGAUAAGUGCUGAAAGCAUCUAAGCACGAAACUUGCCCCGAGAUGAGUUCUCCCUGAGACUU
This 483-nucleotide ribosomal RNA is filed under the name Klebsiella pneumoniae. RNAcentral's name for it is "partial 23S ribosomal RNA". It matches the Rfam family "Bacterial large subunit ribosomal RNA", at positions 2341 to 2823 of the family's 2925-position model. Lineage: Bacteria; Pseudomonadati; Pseudomonadota; Gammaproteobacteria; Enterobacterales; Enterobacteriaceae. The record is from RNAcentral.